RNAcentral lists this ribosomal RNA (784 nucleotides) under Salmonella enterica subsp. enterica serovar Muenchen. RNAcentral's name for it is "partial 23S ribosomal RNA". It matches the Rfam family "Bacterial large subunit ribosomal RNA", at positions 1 to 816 of the family's 2925-position model. The record is from RNAcentral. Lineage: Bacteria; Pseudomonadati; Pseudomonadota; Gammaproteobacteria; Enterobacterales; Enterobacteriaceae. RNAcentral also lists the same sequence under 1 other name.
GGGUUGUGAGGUUAAGCGACUAAGCGUACACGGUGGAUGCCCUGGCAGUCAGAGGCGAUGAAGGGCGUGCUAAUCUGCGAUAAGCGCCGGUAAGGUGAUAUGAACCGUUAUAACCGGCGAUACCCGAAUGGGGAAACCCAGUGUGACUCGUCACACUAUCAUUAACUGAAUCCAUAGGUUAAUGAGGCGAACCGGGGGAACUGAAACAUCUAAGUACCCCGAGGAAAAGAAAUCAACCGAGAUUCCCCCAGUAGCGGCGAGCGAACGGGGAGGAGCCCAGAGCCUGAAUCAGCAUGUGUGUUAGUGGAAGCGUCUGGAAAGGCGCGCGAUACAGGGUGACAGCCCCGUACACAAAAGCGCAUGUGCUGUGAGCUCGAUGAGUAGGGCGGGACACGUGGUAUCCUGUCUGAAUAUGGGGGGACCAUCCUCCAAGGCUAAAUACUCCUGACUGACCGAUAGUGAACCAGUACCGUGAGGGAAAGGCGAAAAGAACCCCGGCGAGGGGAGUGAAAAAGAACCUGAAACCGUGUACGUACAAGCAGUGGGAGCACAGGUUUACCUGUGUGACUGCGUACCUUUUGUAUAAUGGGUCAGCGACUUAUAUUCUGUAGCAAGGUUAACCGUAUAGGGGAGCCGUAGGGAAACCGAGUCUUAACCGGGCGUUAAGUUGCAGGGUAUAGACCCGAAACCCGGUGAUCUAGCCAUGGGCAGGUUGAAGGUUGGGUAACACUAACUGGAGGACCGAACCGACUAAUGUUGAAAAAUUAGCGGAUGACCUGUGGCU